CUCUCUCUCUCUCUCCCUUUCUCUCUCUCUCUGAUACUCUGGAUUGCCCCUGGUGCUAGCAUGAUGGGGCACUGAAGGUUCAGUUGGAUUCUCGAAGAAAAGAAAGGCAGCGAGGCGGCGAGGCAAAGACCUGAAGUGUGGGAAGGGGAUAGAUGCAGAAACUGGGUCAGCAAGACAGAAAAAAACCUGAGUCCUUUACCAGGAACCGGGAAGCGCAUAGACAUCUGAGGACAAAGCUCUGGGCACUGGAGAUCAUAUAGGUGAAUGAGCAACCUGGGAAGAUAAUUUGCCUCCCUAAUCUUCUGGUGCUGAGGCUACAGACCACCCAUCUCGGAGGGCGAUUAUGUCUUCAACAAAGGCAAGAUCAGGCUCUGAAGAG
Molecule: long non-coding RNA, 379 nt
Organism: Mesocricetus auratus (golden hamster)
Lineage: Eukaryota; Metazoa; Chordata; Mammalia; Rodentia; Cricetidae
Exons: 4
Source: RefSeq, a predicted model, not a curated record